Cicer arietinum (chickpea) is the source of this 1014-nucleotide non-coding RNA. NCBI's taxonomy places the organism in Eukaryota, Viridiplantae, Streptophyta, Magnoliopsida, Fabales, Fabaceae. The record is from RefSeq and is a predicted model, not a curated record.
CUAAUAAUAAAAUUAAAACUGCUUGGUCAUGAUCUUCUUCUUCCCACACACCAACAACAACACACAUCCCCAUGACACUUUUUCUUUUAAACUUCUCUCUUCUUCCACAAUCUGAAUAGUGCAUCGUUUGCAACACUAGGAGUGUAUUCGGGACCCUUGUAACCCCCUCUUUCAUUCCCACUAAGAAUCUAAACUCGAAAGGUUAUAUUUGUCGUACCGAAAAAACAAACCACCAACUUCAUACCGACAUCCCGGCCACAGCCAAUGUUGUUAGUGAAAACCGAGACCGCCUAAGAAAUCCACACAACACCUUCUUUCAUCUUCUAUGUACGAAAACACCAGCCAUUACACUUUGAAAAAUGACAUAUUGCCCCUGAUGCGGUUCUGUUUAGUUCUGAUCAGUUCAUUUGUCGUUUUUGAAAAACCUACUUUGUUUUUGGAAUAUUUGCGCCGAAACCUUUUAGACGAGAAGACUAUUAGUUUGCGCGUCAUUCGAAAGUUGACGUCGAACUAUUUCGAGGUUUUGGUGAGACCUUUCGUUGACUUUUGUUUUGUGUCGUCGUUGUCGUUGGUGCUGAAAGUCUCCCUUGAGUUUGGAGGUUGUAUGGAAGCUUUGGAAUGAGGAGCAAAACCCACUCGAGGUGGUAAAGCUCGAUUUGAGUCUGAUGUGUGUUUUCUGGUCUACUGAAUUUUCAUCCAGUGCAAUCAUGAGUGAUGAAGGAGAAAGGACUUGUCCUCUCUGUGCUGAAGAGAUGGAUUUGACAGAUCAGCAAUUGAGACCAUGCAAAUGCGGCUACCAGGUUUGAUUUUAUUUAUAUGUUCUUGUUAUUGAUCAAUAAUCUGAAGGUUUUUAUAUAACCUGUUGGAUAAGAUAAUGUUUGUGUUUUUUUGGGUAAGGUUUCUUAUCAAUUGGGUCACUUGAUUUGUUGGUCCGUGUAUAUUUUUGUAUCUGUUGAUCUAUUAACAUUUGGUAUUCUUCACUGCUUACUAUUUUGAAUCCUGUGUUUCCAAGAA